This 96-nucleotide non-coding RNA is filed under the name Wohlfahrtiimonas chitiniclastica. Its description in RNAcentral is "TPP sequence". It matches the Rfam family "TPP riboswitch aptamer (THI element)". From Rfam's summary of the family: Vitamin B(1) in its active form thiamin pyrophosphate (TPP) is an essential coenzyme that is synthesised by coupling of pyrimidine and thiazole moieties in bacteria. The record is from RNAcentral. RNAcentral also lists the same sequence under 1 other name. Lineage: Bacteria; Pseudomonadati; Pseudomonadota; Gammaproteobacteria; Cardiobacteriales; Ignatzschineriaceae.
AUUGUCCACUGGGGGUGCAUUUGCUGAGAAGGCUGAGCCUAACCCUUUUACCUGAUCUGGUUAAUGCCAGCGUAGGGAAUGUGGGAUCGCAUCCCG